AUUGUUGGGUUUAGUCCCACAUCGGUUGUGGGAGGUGACAUAACACGACUUAUAAGGGUGAGGGUGUUCCCUCCUAACAGGCUAGUCUUUUGGGGAAAGAGGGCCUAAGGCCUGUCAUAAGUCGGUGUUGCUCUUCGGUUGAGUCUGUUGACACAUAUGGAUCGGAUACGCUGGUGCUAGCGGACCCGGGAUUGGGUAACUCUAUAGAUCGAGGCCAAUAU
This 221-nucleotide long non-coding RNA is filed under the name Hordeum vulgare. RNAcentral's name for it is "long non-coding RNA (HVUL_LNC015835)". The record is from RNAcentral. Lineage: Eukaryota; Viridiplantae; Streptophyta; Magnoliopsida; Poales; Poaceae.